AGUGGCCUAUGAUGAAUAAAAGUUUUGCCUACAUUGUCUGAUUGAUUACUAUGAAGAGAACUUAAUUAAGAUUUCUGAGGCCGUU
Erigeron canadensis is the source of this 85-nucleotide small nucleolar RNA. RefSeq annotates it as small nucleolar RNA SNORD34. The transcript has a single exon. The record is from RefSeq and is a predicted model, not a curated record. NCBI's taxonomy places the organism in Eukaryota, Viridiplantae, Streptophyta, Magnoliopsida, Asterales, Asteraceae.